GAAAAAGUACAUAGGAACUGCUAAUCCCUAUAACCCGUGUAUAAUAACACGGCUUUUUCG
This 60-nucleotide transfer RNA is filed under the name Muntiacus putaoensis (Leaf deer). RNAcentral describes it as "tRNA-Ser". Lineage: Eukaryota; Metazoa; Chordata; Mammalia; Artiodactyla; Cervidae. The record is from RNAcentral. RNAcentral also lists the same sequence under 1 other name.